This 374-nucleotide ribosomal RNA is filed under the name uncultured bacterium. Its description in RNAcentral is "bacterial SSU rRNA". It matches the Rfam family "Bacterial small subunit ribosomal RNA", at positions 29 to 431 of the family's 1533-position model. The record is from RNAcentral.
AGCGAACGCUGGCGGCAGGCUUAACACAUGCAAGUCGAACGGACCCUUCGGGGUUAGUGGCGGACGGGUGAGUAACACGUGGGAAUGUGCCUUUAGGUUCGGAACAACACAGGGAAACUUGUGCUAAUACCGAAUGUGCCCUUCGGGGAAGGAUUAUUGCCUUAGAGCAGCCCGCGUCUGAUUAGCUUGUUGGUGAGGUAAAGGACUCACCAAGGCGACGAUCAGUAGCUGGUCUGAGAGGAUGGCCAGCCACAUUGGGACUGAGACACGGCCCAAACUCCUACGGGAGGCAGCAGUGGGGAAUUUUCCACAAUGGGGGCGAACCCUGAUGGAGCAACGCCGCGUGCAGGAUGAAGGCCUUAGGGUUGUAAACU